RNAcentral lists this microRNA precursor (108 nucleotides) under Pelobates cultripes (western spadefoot toad). Lineage: Eukaryota; Metazoa; Chordata; Amphibia; Anura; Pelobatidae. The record is from RNAcentral.
GUACAAGGCUAAAUAGGGCCCUGGGAUGAGGCACCUGUGACAGGGAGGGGUUUUGCACCCCUCCCUGUCACAGGUGCCUCAUCCCAGGGCCCUAUUUAGCCUUGUACU